RNAcentral lists this ribosomal RNA (253 nucleotides) under uncultured bacterium. RNAcentral's name for it is "partial 16S ribosomal RNA". It matches the Rfam family "Bacterial small subunit ribosomal RNA", at positions 524 to 776 of the family's 1533-position model. The record is from RNAcentral.
UACGAAGGGGGCUAGCGUUGCUCGGAAUCACUGGGCGUAAAGCGCACGUAGGCGGCUUGCUAAGUCAGGGGUGAAAUCCUGGAGCUCAACUCCAGAACUGCCUUUGAUACUGGCGAUCUUGAGUCCGGGAGAGGUGAGUGGAACUGCGAGUGUAGAGGUGAAAUUCGUAGAUAUCGGGAGGAACACCGGUGGCGAAGGCGGCGACCUGGGUCGAUACUGACGCUGAGGUGCGAAAGCGUGGGGAGCAAACAGG